AGAGUUUGAUCCUGGCUCAGGACGAACGCUGGCGGCGUGCCUAACACAUGCAAGUCGAACGGAGAUUUCAGCAAUGAAAUCUUAGUGGCGAACGGGUGAGUAACGCGUAGACAACCUACCUUCUAGAUGGGGACAACACUGCGAAAGUGGUGCUAAUACCGAAUGUUGUAUUUUGGUUGCAUAACUGAGAUACUAAAGAUGGCCUCCAUUUAUAAGCUAUCGCUAGAAGAUGGGUCUGCGUCUGAUUAGCUAGUCGGUGAGGUAAUGGCUCACCAAGGCGACGAUCAGUAGCCGGUCUGAGAGGAUGAACGGCCACACUGGGACUGAGACACGGCCCAGACUCCUACGGGAGGCAGCAGUGGGGAAUCUUCCGCAAUGGACGAAAGUCUGACGGAGCAACGCCGCGUGAGUGAAGAAGGUUUUCGGAUCGUAAAACUCUGUUUUCAGGGACGAAUGUGCAGCUUGUAAAUAAUGAGUUGUAAUGACGGUACCUGAGUAGAAAGCCACGGCUAACUACGUGCCAGCAGCCGCGGUAAUACGUAGGUGGCAAGCGUUGUCCGGAAUUAUUGGGCGUAAAGCGCGCGCAGGUGGGAUAUUAAGUCUGGUGUUAAAGUUCGGGGCUCAACCCCGUGAAGCAUUUGGAAACUGAUAUUCUUGAGUGCAGGAGAGGAAAGUGGAAUUCCUAGUGUAGCGGUGAAAUGCGUAGAUAUUAGGAGGAACACCAGUGGCGAAGGCGACUUUCUGGACUGUGUCUGACACUGAGGCGCGAAAGCUAGGGUAGUGAACAGGAUUAGAUACCCUGGUAAUCCUAGCUGUAAACGAUGGG
RNAcentral lists this ribosomal RNA (826 nucleotides) under uncultured bacterium. RNAcentral's name for it is "bacterial SSU rRNA". It matches the Rfam family "Bacterial small subunit ribosomal RNA", at positions 8 to 813 of the family's 1533-position model. The record is from RNAcentral.